CAUUGCGAAGAACAAUCGAUGGCUCAAACAAACGGUUCUGACCCUAGCUUCAGAUCCAAACCCUAGAAUGUAAGUUUCCUUUUCUUCAUCUCCGACCUUUUGAUUUGAUAUUUGUCUAGCUUUAAUUUUUGAGUUUCUAAUCGAUGAUCUUAGUAAGAUAUCUUGUUUUAUGGGUGAAUGAGUGAUCAAAGAGUACAAUAUUUGAUUUCACUUUGAAAUGGUUCUAUCUAUGGUAUGUGUUAAUUGUUGANNNNNNNNNNNNNNNNNNNNNNNNGGGUUUUAAUUUUGAGGAUAGAAGGUAUGUUUCUGAAGAGAUAAUUUAGUAUUGGUUUCUAUAAUUUUGUUACAUUUAGAUGCAUAUGCAGAUAGAUGUUAUGCUCUAAAAUGAUGAUUUCAAUUUUAAGUGUCGUUGAAGAAGUAAUGAGCUUAAUGUGAGACCAAUUGUAAUUGGUUUGGGAGCAUUUGAAUUCCGCACCUGUAAAGAAAAUGGGGAAAUUUGCAGCAUUUUUG
This 510-nucleotide long non-coding RNA is filed under the name Trifolium pratense (red clover). Its description in RNAcentral is "long non-coding RNA (TPRA_LNC012235)". The record is from RNAcentral. Lineage: Eukaryota; Viridiplantae; Streptophyta; Magnoliopsida; Fabales; Fabaceae.